This 292-nucleotide unclassified non-coding RNA is filed under the name plant metagenome. RNAcentral's name for it is "partial contains small subunit ribosomal RNA, internal transcribed spacer 1, and 5.8S ribosomal RNA". The stretch from base 244 to 292 matches the Rfam family "5.8S ribosomal RNA", at positions 1 to 49 of the family's 154-position model. The record is from RNAcentral.
UUUCCGUAGGUGAACCUGCGGAAGGAUCAUUAAUGAGUUGUCAUGGGGUUCGAUGCUGGCAGCCAGUUUUUGGAUGCAUGUGCUUGCCCUAACAAUCAUCUUCUUCCAAACACCUGUGCACAUUUUUGAGGGAGUCUUGAGUUGGUUGCCGCUCUUGGGUGAUUUUCUCACAUUCCCUUAAAUCAUUAUACGCUAUUAACAAUGUUGAACGUGCUCUGUGCCGCAAGGCCAUUAAUAUAAUACAACUUUUAACAACCGAUCUCUUGGCUCUCACAUCGAUGAAGAACGCAGC